This is a long non-coding RNA of Oncorhynchus tshawytscha (Chinook salmon), 2002 nucleotides long. Lineage: Eukaryota; Metazoa; Chordata; Actinopteri; Salmoniformes; Salmonidae. The record is from Ensembl.
CACACACAAAGCACACACAAAGCACAACAGAAAAAACAUAUUUCUCUUCCUAUGUCACAACUGCACUGCAAGUUUGGCUUUUUUUUUCAAUGGUUAAGACAAUGUGAUUCCUAUAGUCGAGUUUCUGAAUCAUUUGUGGGCCAUGAACUGGAUCUCACUUGGCUAUAGGACCGUGGCUCGUUUCAAAACCUCUACCACAACGCUGUCACCUGGUAUUCCGUUGAGAAAAUAUGUCUCUGUUACUUUACAUGGGAGAGAUAACCAUGAUUUAUAAAGCAGACAAACUUCCCAGCCAGUGAGAGUUAUAUAAAUAUGAGCGUGGGCUGAUGGUGGUGUAUGGGCAAAUGGAAAUUGACUUGGGUCCAGCGGAAUGGCAAUAAAGUAUGAAUAAAUGGAUUGUGGGGGAAGAGGGAGAGACUAGCUGAGAGAGCCGAUGGCAGCCAUUUUGUGUCUGGCCCGUGGCCCAUGGUGCCAUCUUACAAAUGACUGCAUUAACAGAGCCAAUUAAAGUGGCAAUCAUUUAAUGGCCACCUACGCAGCCGUGCGAGACUGGGACUUUCAUCACGUCAAUCGGCCGUAAGGCAGUAAUAUUCAGUUAGAGCAAUCUGGCCAGUGGACCGACUCAGCUCUGCUCUACUCUCAAUAAAACAUGCCACCACUCAGCACUGACUGGGUAUUAGGAACAACAGCUUUAGGAGGAGAGGAGUUAUUCUUUUGAAAAUAAAUACACUGAAUCGCUUUAAUUUAAUGGCAGCUAUCAAUAGUAGUUCUUUGUAGUUAAUUGUACAAAAAAGUUUGUAAUAAAAAAAAAGAGAAUAAAUGUUUUAUUUUCCACCAAUUUUUCUAAAUGUAUUUUGGUUUUUAUAAACUAAGGAACACAUGCUUUCCAGGACAGGUUUCACUCCCUUCACCUGAAAUGAAGGGGACAUGAAGAUGCAGACAGAGUGAUGGGGGACAUAAACUAAGGAACACAUGAAGGUGCAGACAGAGUGAUGGGGGACAUGAAGAAGCAGACAGAGUGAUGGGGGACAUGAAGAUGCAGACAGAGUGAUGGGGGACAUGAAGAUGCAGACAGAGUGAUGGGGGACAUGAAGAAGCAGACAGAGUGAUGGGGGACAUGAAGAUGCAGACAGAGUGAUGGGGGACAUGAAGAUGCAGACAGAGUGAUGGGGGACAUGAAGGUGCAGAUGGAGUGAUGGGGACAUGAAGGUGCAGAUGGAAGGAUGGGGACAUGAAGGUGCAGAAAGACUGAUGGGUAGAAAGAAGAAAAGAAUUGCAUUUUAUCGACCAAUGUCCUUCCCCAUCUAUCCUCUGCAGUCAUACUACCCAGAAUGCUUUCGGCUCCAAGCGCUCUUUGAGUUUUAGGAGCAUCGUAAAGUGGAACAGAGCUAGAGUCGUUUAAAAUUGGGCUUGUCUACUUCAAAACAUAAAUAUAACAACAAAAAGCAACAAAAAUGCAAAACAACAUAAAAAUAAAACAAUUUCUCGGGGACCUGAUUCUCAUCCUCUAGGUUAUUUGGACACAUUGUAUACACACAUACAUAUUGUAGACCAACAAUACACUUCACAUGGUCAUCUGACCAAAGACACAUAGAAUCACAAGAUAAGCCAGUUGCGUCUAUACCGGCACCUUUUCCCUACACAGUGCACUACUUUAGACCAGGGCCCAUAGGGAAUAGGGUGCAUUACUUUAGACCAGGGACCAUAGGGAAUAGGGUGCUUUAGACCAGGGCCCAUAGGGAAUAGGGUGCACUACUUUAGACCAGGGCCCAUAGGGAAUAGGGUGCACUACUUUAGACCAGGACCCAUAGGGAAUAGGGUGCACUACUUUAGACCAGGGCCCAUAGGGAAUAGGGUGCAUUACUUUAGACCAGGGCCCAUAGGGAUUAGGGUGCUUUAGACCAGGGCCCAUAGGGAAUAGGGUGCACUACUUUAGACCAGGACCCAUAGGGAAUAGGGUGCACUACUUUAGACCAGGGCCCAUAGGGAAUAGGGUGCUUUA